This 920-nucleotide ribosomal RNA is filed under the name uncultured bacterium. RNAcentral's name for it is "bacterial SSU rRNA". It matches the Rfam family "Bacterial small subunit ribosomal RNA", at positions 99 to 998 of the family's 1533-position model. The record is from RNAcentral.
CGAAAGGGUGCGUAACACGUGGGUAAUUUGUCUGAGAGUUCAGGAUAAUUCGCUGAAAGGCGGAGUAAUACUGGAUGUGGAUAUUGGCUGGGAACGGUUGAUGUCUAAAGCUGGGGACCGCAAGGCCUGGUGCUCUUUGGUAAGCCCGCGUCCUAUCAGCUGGUUGGUGAGGUAAAGGCUCACCAAGGCGGAGACGGGUAGCUGGUCUGAGAGGACGACCAGCCACACUGGAACUGAGACACGGUCCAGACACCUACGGGUGGCAGCAGUCGAGAAUUUUUCUCAAUGGGGGAAACCCUGAAGGAGCGACGCCGCGUGGGGGAUGAAGGGCUUCGGCUCGUAAACCCCUGUCAUUUGUGAGCAAGUGUUAUUGUUUAAGAGAUGAUGACAUUGAUAGUAGCAAAAGAGGAAGGGACGGCUAACUCUGUGCCAGCAGCCGCGGUAAUACAGAGGUCCCAAGCGUUGUUCGGAAUCACUGGGCGUAAAGGGUGCGUAGGCGGUAUGGUAAGACUUGGGUGAAAUCUCCAUGCUUAACGUGGAGGGAGCCUGGGAGACUGCCGUGCUGGAGGAUUGGAAGGGAGACUGGAAUUCUUGGAGUAGCAGUGAAAUGCGUAGAUAUCAAGAGGAACACCAGUGGCGAAGGCGAGUCUCUGGACAAGACCUGACGCUGAGGCACGAAGGCCAGGGGAUCAAACGGGAUUAGAUACCCCGGUAGUCCUGGCAGUAAACGGUGCACACUUGCUGUGUGAGGGAUCGACCCCUUACGUGGCGAAGCCAACGCGAUAAGUGUGCCGCCUGGGGAGUGCGGUCGCAAGACUAAAACUCAAAGAAAUUGACGGGGGCCUGCACAAGCGGUGGAGUAUGUGGCUUAAUUCGAUGCAACGCGAAGAACCUUACCUGCCUUGACAUGCAGAUAUUAG